This 566-nucleotide ribosomal RNA is filed under the name Acrobeloides sp. GSb40. RNAcentral describes it as "SSU rRNA". It matches the Rfam family "Eukaryotic small subunit ribosomal RNA", at positions 1060 to 1652 of the family's 1831-position model. Lineage: Eukaryota; Metazoa; Nematoda; Chromadorea; Rhabditida; Cephalobidae. The record is from RNAcentral.
GUGGAUUUUUAGCCCUGGUGGGUAGCUUCCCGGAAACGAAAGUCUUCCGGUUCCGGGGGAAGUAUGGUUGCAAAGCUGAAACUUAAAGGAAUUGACGGAAGGGCACCACCAGGAGUGGAGCCUGCGGCUUAAUUUGACUCAACACGGGGAAACUCACCCGGCCCGGACACCGUAAGGAUUGACAGAUUGAUAGCUCUUUCAUGAUUCGGUGGUUGGUGGUGCAUGGCCGUUCUUAGUUCGUGGAUCGAUUUGUCUGGUUUAUUCCGAUAACGAGCGAGACUCUAGCCUACUAAAUAGUAACGAGAUUAUCAAUGUCUCAGUUGCUUCUUAGAGGGAUUUUCGGUGUUUAGCCGCACGAGAUUGAGCAAUAACAGGUCUGUGAUGCCCUUAGAUGUCCGGGGCUGCACGCGCGCUACACUGGCGAAAUCAGCGUGCUGUAUCCAUUCUCGAAAGGGAUUGGUAAACCCAUGAAAAUUUGCCGUGCUUGGGAUCGGAAAUUGCAAUUAUUUUCCGUGAACGAGGAAUUCCAAGUAAGUGCGAGUCAUCAACUCGCUCUGAUUACGUCC